RNAcentral lists this ribosomal RNA (645 nucleotides) under bacterium HZ1-28. RNAcentral's name for it is "bacterial SSU rRNA". It matches the Rfam family "Bacterial small subunit ribosomal RNA", at positions 338 to 974 of the family's 1533-position model. The record is from RNAcentral.
CCUACGGGAGGCAGCAGUAGGGAAUCUUCCACAAUGGACGAAAGUCUGAUGGAGCAACGCCGCGUGAGCGAUGAAGGCCUUCGGGUCGUAAAGCUCUGUUGUCAGGGAAGAACAAGUAUCGGAGUAACUGCCGGUACCUUGACGGUACCUGACCAGAAAGCCACGGCUAACUACGUGCCAGCAGCCGCGGUAAUACGUAGGUGGCAAGCGUUGUCCGGAAUUAUUGGGCGUAAAGCGCGCGCAGGCGGUCCUUUAAGUCUGAUGUGAAAGCCCACGGCUCAACCGUGGAGGGUCAUUGGAAACUGGGGGACUUGAGUGCAGAAGAGGAAAGCGGAAUUCCACGUGUAGCGGUGAAAUGCGUAGAGAUGUGGAGGAACACCAGUGGCGAAGGCGGCUUUCUGGUCUGUAACUGACGCUGAGGCGCGAAAGCGUGGGGAGCAAACAGGAUUAGAUACCNUGGUAGUCCACGCCGUAAACGAUGAGUGCUAAGUGUUAGAGGGUUUCCGCCCUUUAGUGCUGCAGCUAACGCAUUAAGCACUCCGCCUGGGGAGUACGGCCGCAAGGCUGAAACUCAAAGGAAUUGACGGGGGCCCGCACAAGCGGUGGAGCAUGUGGUUUAAUUCGAAGCAACGCGAAGAACCUUAC